GGCGAACGGGUGAGUAACACGUGGGUAAUCUGCCCAGGACACAGGAAUAACCGGCGGAAACGCCGGCUAAUGCCUGAUGACGUGCCGCCUCUUCGGAGGCGUCACCAAAGGUAGCUUCGGCCUCCGGUCCUGGAUGAGCCCGCGGCCCAUUAGCUUGUUGGUGGGGUAACGGCCUACCAAGGCGACGAUGGGUAGCUGGUCUGAGAGGACGAUCAGCCACACUGGGACUGAGACACGGCCCAGACUCCUACGGGAGGCAGCAGUGGGGAAUCUUGCGCAAUGGGCGAAAGCCUGACGCAGCAACGCCGCGUGCGGGAAGACGGCCUUCGGGUUGUAAACCGCUUUCAGCGGGGACGAAGCCGGACGGGUUAAUAGCCCGCUCCGGUGACGGUACCUGCAGAAGAAGUCCCGGCUAACUACGUGCCAGCCGCCGCGG
This 436-nucleotide ribosomal RNA is filed under the name uncultured bacterium. Its description in RNAcentral is "bacterial SSU rRNA". It matches the Rfam family "Bacterial small subunit ribosomal RNA", at positions 97 to 520 of the family's 1533-position model. The record is from RNAcentral.